UUUCGGGCUAGCUGGCAAUCCAUUGAGAUCGUGUAAAUUCAAACGUUGACAGCCGUUGAGGCGGAGAUUACGGGAUUUAAUCCCGGAUAUGGAGAACUUGAUUUUCGGUGGAGUGGGGGUCAGUUUCUUCCUUUGAUUGGUCUUUCUUGGCCUUGAGGUCAAUCGGGCUGAACUCAUCCGAGACCGCGCUUGCCGAGUUCAUGCCGAGGUCAAGUGCGAUGAGGUCGGGCACUCUGAGGUUGUGACUGCUGAGAGCAUGCUCGCUGUCGUCAUAUUCAUCAUCAAGUGUCGGCGAUUUGACCAUGUGCUUUGAGUGAUCCAAUUUUUCCCCAACAAAAACAAUUAUUUUGCUGCAGAGACCACAAUGCUUACGUGCCUUAUGUGCGGCAAACUUUGGUUGUACACUUGUAGGUGAUCCACAUUUGCAGUUAUCUUCAUUAUGACUAAUAAACUGAGGUAUUGAGAUCUGGCUGAUUUGCCAAACAAUGAAUUCUUUUCACUUCUACCUGAUUGUAAGAUGAGCACCUUGAAGAGAAGAGAGAUUUAAUAAUCAAGAAGGUUGAAAGGCAUUCAUAUAUAUUGCAGGAGCCGCUUAGUAAAAGUGUUUUUUCCAUGCUUGGAACUAUGAUAGCCCUUGUUUUUAAAAGCAUUUAUGUUGAAGCAUAAACAUGAUAAUAGCGC
RNAcentral lists this long non-coding RNA (681 nucleotides) under Phoenix dactylifera (date palm). RNAcentral describes it as "long non-coding RNA (PDAC_LNC011206)". Lineage: Eukaryota; Viridiplantae; Streptophyta; Magnoliopsida; Arecales; Arecaceae. The record is from RNAcentral.